Long non-coding RNA from Misgurnus anguillicaudatus (oriental weatherfish), 2075 nucleotides. RefSeq lists it as uncharacterized. The record is from RefSeq and is a predicted model, not a curated record. Lineage: Eukaryota; Metazoa; Chordata; Actinopteri; Cypriniformes; Cobitidae.
CAUACAGCCAAAAUUGGUUCCUCUAUGGCAUUAUGUAGCACCUUUAGUUUUAAGAGUGUAUGAGCAUUAAAGAGAUUUUACACAAGCACACAGAUACCAGUUAUUAGCUGCAGAAAUAGAGAGAAAGGGAGAAAGUGAGUCACCUGAGGGUACAGGGUAAAAUGAGAGGUACAUCAAAAGUAAGACGGUGAAUUUAAAUCCCAGUCUGCAGAUCAUUCUCCGUAUUUACAAAUAGAUCAAGUUCACAUCCAAACUUCACACAAACUGACAAAACCAACCAAAACCAUCCCUGACCAAAAAAGGACAGCCCGUCCUCUGUGUGUGUGCAUGUGUGUGUGUGCGUGCGUGCGUGUGUGUUCACAGGUUGACCUCCAAACCACUGUGUCUGGACUUCUGAAUGCAGUUGUAAUUAAAGUAAAUUAGAUAUGUGCACAGCCAAUUUUCACAGAGACCGGCCAGCAAUACUUUUAUUAUUGAGAAGGAUCAGGCUGGCUUAUACGGUGAGGGAUUCAAGUCAAUGGAGGAGAAAAGGGCGAAGAUUUAUUCAGAAAGAGAAAAAAGAGCCCUCAGAAAUCUCGAGGCUCUCAAAUGCAGGUGGCGGCGUGGAGAAAAUCACUCUCCCUCUCUCUUUUAUUCCAGAGGGAUGGAAAUGACAGCAACAGGAGGAAGUGGAAGAGGCUCAGUGGAGGAAGAGAGUGGGCGCGCACAUCAAAGACUCCCAUCUGGAGCGCGUCCACACCUUUCUCCAUCUCUCGCACACAGACGCAUGCUUCUCGCGGGCUCUUAUCCGCCAGACAAACUGCCGUUUUUAAUUUGUGUGACAAUACGUGCGGACGGCCCCUUAUUUGCAAGGGGGAGCCUGGAGCAGCUCCCAUUUGAAUAAGCACACAUGUGGGUUAUCAGGGAUCAGGAGACUGUGCACACAGACAAGCGGAGCGUGACGAGCAGAGCUUGGCCUUCGCCAGUGGGGCAUGGAACCGCAUAGCACCACGAAAAGCAACAAAGCCACUCAAGGUCAGUGACUCCCUGACAACCGCUCCAUCUGCAAGAUGUGAAUCGUAAUCAGUGACAAGACAGCAGCGCACAUCAAACGGCGGGGAGCGGCUGGGGUCUGCGCAGCCACCUAAUAAAAAGCAAACAAGCCAUAAAUAAAAGGGAAUUUUAUAGAGGGCCGUCUGUGGUGGGCUGGUUGAGGGAAGCUGAGGAGAGAUGCACUGAGACAUCAGAGGGUAAACAUAACAUUAACUAGAACAAAUACUACAGUAUUUUGAUGUAAAGCAUAUAGAAGGUUGAAGAAGAGGAAGAGAGAGAGAAGGGUUGAAUAUGACAGCAGAUCAUGAGAUCUUUUCAUCUGACAGAUGAGGAGGAACCAAACGGCAAUUACGACCCUUGGGAAGGGAGAGAAGUCCACAGCUUUAGGUUACAGAUCAAACACAGAUACACAAACAGUGAUAUGAUAUUGUGUGAGCAGAUGUUUAAUAAGGACCAUUUAAAGUCAACAUGAAUUGGAAUAGUGUAUAUUUACUUUCUUAAAACAUGGGUUUCAUUGAAAAGUAAAGAAGUUUGUCUACCUUAUCUUUCAUGAUAAUAUAAAAUAUUCUUCUGUCAUUCUUCUCAUAUGAAACGUUAUUUUUUGUUUACAAUAAAUGGCAACGUUUCUCACAGACUUAUGAUUAAAUUAAGCUUUUUAGUCUAUAUAGCAUUCAAAGGCAACAUGCUGAGCAAAUUGACAAACUGACAGUGUUUAUUGUGAAACAUUGUACUUUUGACACCUCUGUGAGAUGGUCUUUGUUGCGACUGACUUUGAAGGCCUCCGCAGAACAAUAAUCAAGGCCUGUCUUAAAGAAUGCAUGGGGAUCAGAGGAGCCGUGUUCUCAGAUUGAAAACAAAUUGGUUUCACCUUUUCAGACAACCUCAUGCAGAAGAGAGAGUGGGAGUAGUUUUUGACAUUUCAUCUUUUCUUAUUAUUUUUUUAAAUGGGAUUUGGAACACAGCUGCGAUUCAUCUUUAAGAAGUUUGUUUUGAAAAAGAGCUUUUUUUAAGAUGCAAGAGAUGCAAGAUGCAGUUUCACUGUA